Molecule: ribosomal RNA, 474 nt
Filed under: Triticum aestivum (bread wheat)
Lineage: Eukaryota; Viridiplantae; Streptophyta; Magnoliopsida; Poales; Poaceae
Description: partial small subunit ribosomal RNA
Source: RNAcentral
AUGUGCCGGAACCUGAAAUCUAUCUCGUCAAAAUUUUGGUGGGGAGCAACUAAUGGUGAGAGGAAGGUGCAUUGGAUCUCUUGGGACAAGAUGUGUGAGGCUAGGAAGGAGGGUGGCCUGGGUUUCAAAGAUCCAGAGGCCUUCAACCAAGCUUUGUUAGCCAAGCAAGCGUGGCGCCUCCUUCAACAGCCAACGUCUUUGUGUGCUCGUGUUCUCAAGGCUCACUACUAUCCGGACUGUUCCAUCAUGAAUGCGGUUUGCCCUGCAGCUGGUUCCUUCACUUUCAAAAGUAUCAUUCAUGGGAGGGAGCUGUUGCGUGCGGGUUCUAUUUGGCGUAUUGGUGAUGGAUCAGGGGUUAACAUUCACCAUAGCAACUGGAUACCACGGAUGGGGAGUAUGAGGCCACUGGGCCAGACUUACAUCCCCGGAAUAACCAAAGUGGCUGAUUUGCUUACCCCUGAUGGUACGACCUAG